This is a long non-coding RNA of Apteryx rowi (Okarito brown kiwi), 1870 nucleotides long. Ensembl annotates it as small integral membrane protein 24. Lineage: Eukaryota; Metazoa; Chordata; Aves; Apterygiformes; Apterygidae. The record is from Ensembl.
UGGCAGGGCAGGAGCCGUGUUCGUGGGGGCGGGAUGCUGCCCCCGACCUGCCAGAGCCCCGUUGCUCUACCAGGCCCAGUGCCAACGUGGGGCAGAGGGGAUGGAAUGGGGCAGGGGCACCGGGCAGGAUGGAGAUUCCCCACCUAUCUGUUCCUCCCUCUAUCCAUCCAUCUGUUCACCCAUCUGUCCGUACAUCCAUCCACCCACCCACCCAUCCAUCCACCCACCUACCCAUCCAUCCACCCACCUGUCUGUCUGUCCAUCCAUCCAUCUACCCAUCUAUUUACCCCACCAUCCAUGCAUUCACCCAUCCAUCUGUCCAUCCAUGUCUCCAUCCACCCAUCCACCCGCCCACCCACCUAUUGCCCACCCACCUAUUGCCCACCCCAGAUGGUGGCAGGUCCCCAUGGGCCAAGAGCUUCCCCCAAGGCCAGGGCUGAGCACCUGUAAGGUGAAGCUGAGCUUCAGAAGAGACCUGAGCCCCUCCGGGAGCAAAUCCUGCCCUCCUGGGCUUUGGGGCAAACAGCUGUGCUUCUAAAAAAAAUAGAAAGAGAAGCCCCAAAUCUUUCUCAUCCGACCCCAAAUUGUGCUGCUCCCAAGCAGCACUGUGGGCUGGCAUGGGGACAUCUCCUGGUGGCUGCGUUCCCUUCAAGCCUCUGUGUCCCAGGGCCUCGUCUCCCCACCACGGCCGGGACCCUGCUCCUCGGCGGGGCAUCGCCCUCCUGGGGCGGGCGCCAGGUGCCCAUGGCUUGUCCCAAAGGACCUGCCCCAGCCUGGGCUGAGCCCAGCGGGGCCCAGAUGCCACCUCCCAAGGGUUAAAGAAACCCCGUUGCCAUGGCAGUGGUGGCACUUGUCCUCUUGAGCCCAAUAAAAGCGCCCGUUGGCCCUGCGGUGCAGAGUGCCCGCAGCGGCGUCGGAGACGAGCCCGCCUCGGGGUGCAGGGUCCGUCUGUGCUCCGUCUGUCCGUCCGUCUCCCCGUGUCUCGCGCAGCCCAAAAUGCAGAGGCCGGCGGCCCCCGCGGCCCCACUGCCCCUCUCGCUCCUGCUGCUGCUCGUCCUCGCGGCCACCGCGCAGGGACAAGAAGCCACCGGCUCCAAGGAGCUGCAGCCCUGGCUCGUGGGCCUCACGGCCGUCGUCGUCUUCCUCUUCAUCGUCUUUGUGGUCCUGCUYGCCAACCGGCUCUGGCGGAUCAGGACGCGCAGGAAGAGCGAUGAGUCCCAGGAAAGCCAGGAGAUUCAUAGGGUGGAGAAGGCCUCCUACGAGAAUCCAGCGGUGGAGAACGAGGAGGAGAAGAGCAAAGCCACGUCGCUGUGAGACGCUGCCCAGCGCAGCCCCAUCACCCCCGUGCAGGGCCACCCCUCUCCCCCCUGGACACGGCCGCAGCCCCGCUGGCAUCUCUGCGCGGCCCGGUGCAGCCCCGGCUGCUCGGGCACGGGGGUCUCCGUGGGGUCUGGGGGCAGCCGCCCUCACUACUGGGUGCCCCUUCCAGCUGGGCGCCCUGGGCUUUAGUGGGUGCUGGGGAGUCCCUGGUGCUCGCUCUCACCCCAGUCCGGGAGGGCAGGGAUCCAGUCCGGGUUUUGCUGGUGCGGGCAGCAGGUGAAGAGUGCCAGCGGCAGCCCCUACGGCUGCCACCAAGACCUGGGGUGGAUUUUGGUGCCCACUGGAAUGGAUUGGGGAGGGCAAAGGUUUGGGGGGGGGGCUGCCUGCCUCCCCCCCCCCGCCCCGGUCACAGCUCCGGUGUGGGGCUGCCCCAUCCCGCCUGGCAUUGGGAGCCAAAGSUGCUAAGACCCACCCUGGCAGGGCAGGGCCUGGCAGCGGGCAGAGCCCUGAGCUGGGGACCCCCCCCCACCUUGCACCCCACAGAGCUCUG